This is a long non-coding RNA of Zonotrichia albicollis (white-throated sparrow), 1069 nucleotides long. Lineage: Eukaryota; Metazoa; Chordata; Aves; Passeriformes; Passerellidae. The record is from Ensembl.
AUGGUUGUAGCUGUAUAUUCAGGUUUUUCAACCCAGAACAGACUGCCCAUGGAAAGAAAAUGGUGCCCACUUCCUGCAACUGCAAGGCUGAGGCUGAAACCCAAGCAGAAACAUUACACCUGUGUUGAUAUCUUCACUCAAAGAAAACUGCCAAAAACUGAAGUACUUGUCCAGAAUAGCUGUUUUUGCUCCUGUACCUGAAAAUCAGUCCAGCGCCCAUCCCUACCAGUGGAUGUCAUAGAUGCAAGUGGACCCCGCUGGAAGAAAUCUUCAGACAAUUUGCUGUGCUACAGGAGGAGUUUAACAGGUGGUGGAGGGCCUGGGAAUAUGAGAGAGAGGUCAAUAACUGGUAUUGUGUGCUGUCCCAGACUGACCAACAGCCCAGCCUUGAGGCUGUACAAGGGAAUCUAACCUCAAACUUUCUGACACGAGCAACUCAUGAGAUAAAGGAGAUUGCAUAAUUUUCUCUGCAUGGAGAAUCUUCCCCUGAAGUGUCUCUAUACAACAAAUACUGUGCUCUGGGCAUGCGCAGUGAAUGUCACAGUAAUAAUGGACAGGAUCCAGGAAACCCCAACCAUUCAAUACCAUCCCUUGUGUGAGAAACAGUAGCUUCAGAAAAAGAUGUAAUUGGAGAUUCCUUACCGUGAGCCACCAAAGCACUUAUUUCUCAUCCAGAUUUUUCUCCAGAGAAGUUCACUGCCUAUCAACAGAUUGCAUUCACAACGUCACUGCGAGGCUGCUGAGCCUACUGAACCCUACAAAUUACCAUCUGCUACAAUACCAUUCUAUAUAGGGUCUGUGGCAAGACAAUUCUGAACACUCUGAAAAGAUUGUAUAUCCCUCAGAGCAAUAUCAAAUCCCCUGGGGAUUUGAUCACAUUCUCCUCUGUCCUCACAGGCAGACAUACGAGUUCAGGAAAGAGGAGUCAAAUUGAAAGGUGAAUGCCUGGCUGCGUGGCUGAUGCCACACUCAAGGUUUGGCUUCCACGAUUGUGGACCUGCCUUUGGAAGCAGGGCCUGUUGUGAGCUUGUGAGAUUCACCUGACAAAGUAGGCAGAAGGCUGUUCACC